CUCAACCCAAACCCUGCACCCUCAGGUCAGGAGGCCAAAGAAGUUGAACAGUGAACUAGUUAGGUUCUGUCUACUUAAUUUAGAAUAAUUUUUCUCAUAAUUUGAGCAACAUGCAUGAGAGAAGUCCUCAACCUCUGCCAAAUUAAGUGUAUCCUAUGACUCUCCAUCUGAAAACAUCCUUUCUGGGGCCAGGGAAGUUUCUUCCAUCCCUGUCUUUUGGUGGCUGUGUUGAAGAUGCAAUGAGAAGAUAUUGGUCAUCCUUUUCCUAGCUCACUACUGCUUAUCUCCCGGAGGCCCGUGGCGUCCAGUGUUGGUCCACCAGUUACACUUCGCAGAAGGUAGAACCCUGGGAGGAAGAGAGCCAGGAAGGGAAGAGUCUAUGGGUACAAAGAGUUCGUGCACAUGGAACACACCAUACCACAUCACUAAGAAAAUUAACCUUCCGUGUCUGGAUGAGGAAAGUCAGGUGCAGAGAAGAAUAUGAAGGCAAUUAAAGAACAAAAACCAUAACAUGCCCCAAAUUACGAAAAGAACUGGCAUUUGCAAAGAAUAACAUCCUCACUCAGGCCUCAUGUUGUAAGUGAGGAAACUACGAAUCAAAGACAACAAGCAGCCCUCUGCUUAGCUCAGCUCCCAGGAACCAUUCUCUUCCCAGAGCACAUGUUCUGGAGGGGCCUGGUUUUCCAUCUUCUCUGGAGAUCCUCUGAUGAAAGCAUAACCAGAGGGAGGCUUACCCUCUACUUGCUCACCUUCUCCCCUGCUGAGAUGGCCUUUGGAGGCUCUUCCAGUUAAUUUGCCUUAUGCUGCACUGCAUCAUGUUUCUAGUUAACUGCAAAGCAAAUAGUCCAUGGCCUAGAGGAGGCCUGCACCCUGGAACAAUUGUUGGAAUACGCUGGCCAUUUAAUAUGUCAAGAGUGAAGGAGAAAUAUUCCUUGUGUGGCUUUGGUGGUAAAGUGUGAAAAGGACUGCAAAGCCCGUGUGUCACCGAGGAGAGGGUCAGAAGAAUGUUGCUGGCAGGGCAGAGGCCACUUCUAGAUGCUGGUGUGAUGGAGAAAAUGUAAUCAACCAUAAGGCCCUUGGGGAAAGUAUUGUAUUUGUUUGGAAGAAAUAUUUUAGUAUAAGACUCCUGUGAACAUGCUCAAAGACAAAGGAUAGUUUCUCAAUAGUCUUCUAAGGGUAGGAAUGAUUGAUGAGAGGGGAUUUUGAUUUGUUGAGCACUUAGAUAAGUUUUAGUAUACACAUUUAGGGACAGAAGCCAGGGCAGAGAUAAACUGCUCAGCAUAAAAUGGGAAAGAGGUGAUGAGGAGGCUAAUUCUGGGAAGAGAGGAGCCACCUCCUUGCUGGUAUGGACAAUUUGUAUGUAUUGGGCGUUGAGCAUCACACACAAUCCCCUUUCUCUGGCUUUGUAAUUGCCUGAUGUGUUCUUCCUGUCUGCUGCACAAACAAAGACCACAGCAUAGCAAUAAAGAAAGAGUUUAGGCUGGGCGCAGUGGCUCACGCCUGUAAUCCCAGCACUUUGGGCGGCCGAGGCGGGUGGAUCACAAGGUCAGGAGAUCGAGACCAUCCUGGCUAACAUGGUGAAACCCCAUCUCUACUAAAGAAAAAAAAAGU
This 1611-nucleotide long non-coding RNA is filed under the name Pan troglodytes (chimpanzee). RNAcentral's name for it is "long non-coding RNA NONPTRT014419". The record is from RNAcentral. Lineage: Eukaryota; Metazoa; Chordata; Mammalia; Primates; Hominidae.